UAGGAAAGUCAUAAAUAUAUAAAUUAUAUUAUAUAAUUAAUAUAAUAAUAAAAUAAAUUAUAUAUUUUAUUUAUAAUAUUAUUUCUUUAUAAGAUAAAUAUUAUCUAAUUAAUAAUUAGAUUGAAUAAUAUUUAUAAAAAAAUAUAUAUAUAUAUAAAAAAAUCAUUAUAUAAAUUUAAUUAUAAUUUAAAUAAAUUUUAUAUAAAUUAAUAUAAUAUUAAUAAAGUAAUUAGUAUAAAUAAAUAAUAUGAAAAUAAAACUUAAUAAAUAUAUAAAUAUAGUCCAUAUAUAUAUAUUAAUAAAAAGUAAUAUAUAUAUAUAUAUUGGAAUAGUUAUAUUAUUAUACAGAAAUAUGCUUAA
This 360-nucleotide unclassified non-coding RNA is filed under the name Saccharomyces cerevisiae (brewer's yeast). Lineage: Eukaryota; Fungi; Ascomycota; Saccharomycetes; Saccharomycetales; Saccharomycetaceae. The record is from RNAcentral.